This 2059-nucleotide ribosomal RNA is filed under the name Plenodomus biglobosus/Leptosphaeria biglobosa 'thlaspii' group. RNAcentral's name for it is "eukaryotic LSU rRNA". It matches the Rfam family "Eukaryotic large subunit ribosomal RNA", at positions 272 to 2368 of the family's 3401-position model. The record is from RNAcentral. Lineage: Eukaryota; Fungi; Ascomycota; Dothideomycetes; Pleosporales; Leptosphaeriaceae.
AUUUAGGAAUGCAGCUCUAAAUAGGAGGUAAAUUUCUUCUAAAGCUAAAUACUAGCUAGAGACUGAUAGCGCAUAAGUAGAGUGAUUAAAAGAUAAAAAGCACUUUAGAAAGAGAGUUAAAUAGCACGUAAAAUUGUUAAAAGGGAAGCGCUUACAGCUAGACUUGCCUAUAGUUACUUAUCUAGGCUUUUACCUAGUACACUCUUCUAUAGGCAGGCCAGCAUUAGUUUAGGCAGUUAGAUAAAGGUCUCUAUUACGUACCUCUCUUUAGGGAGGCCUUAUAGGGGAGACGACAUGCAACCAGCCUAGACUAAGGUCCGCGCAUUUGCUAGGAUGCUGGCGUAAUAGCUAUAAGCGGCCUGUCUUAAAACACGGACUAAGGAGUCUAACAUCUAUGCAAGUGUUUAGGUGUUAAGCCUAAACGCGUAAUAAAAGUAAACGGAGGUAGGAACCCUUUAGGGCGCACUAUUAACUAAUCCUAAUAUCUUUAGAAGGAUUUAAGUAAGAGCAUAGCUGUUAGGACCUAAAAGAUAGUAAACUAUGCUUAAAUAGGGUAAAGCCAGAGGAAACUCUAGUAGAGGCUCGCAGCGGUUCUAACGUGCAAAUUGAUCAUUAAAUUUGGGCAUAGGGGCGAAAGACUAAUUAAACUAUCUAGUAGCUAGUUCCUGCUAAAGUUUCCCUUAGGAUAGCAGUAACGUAUUUAGUUUUAUAAGGUAAAGCAAAUAAUUAGAGGCCUAGGGGUUAAAACAACCUUUACCUAUUCUUAAACUUUAAAUAUAUAAGAAGUCCUUGUUACUUAAUUAAACGUGGACACUUAAAUGUACUAUUACUAGUAGGCUAUUUUUAGUAAGCAGAACUGGCAAUGUGGGAUAAACUAAACGCGGGGUUAAGGUGCUAGAAUGCACGCUUAUUAGACACUAUAAAAGGUGUUAGUUUAUCUAGAUAGCAGGAUAGUAGCUAUGGAAGUUAGAAUCCGCUAAGGAGUGUGUAAUAACUUACCUACUAAAUAAACUAGCCCUAAAAAUAGAUGGCGCUUAAGCGUGUUACCUAUACCCCGCUGCUAGGGCAAGAUUUAAGCCCUAGCGAGUAGGUAGGCGUGGAGGUCUAUAACGAAGCCUUAGGGGUAACCCUAGGUAGAACGGCCUCUAGUGCAGAUCUUAGUAGUAGUAGUAAAUACUUAAAUAAGAACUUUAAGGACUAAAGUAGGGAAAGGUUCCGUAUAAACAGCAGUUAGACACGGGUUAGUUAAUCCUAAGAGAUAGGGUAAUUCCGUUUUAAUGUUAGCGCUUACGCCACGCCCUUAAAAGGGAAGCUGGUUAAUAUUCUAGCACCUAGAUAUAGAUUCUCUGCGGCAACGCAACUAAGAGUAGAGACCUUGGCAGGAGCCCUAAGAAGAGUUCUCUUUUCUUCUUAACAGUCUGUUACCCUAAAAUCAGUUUGUCUAGAGCUAGGGUUUAAUAGCUAGAAGAGCGCUGUACUUUUAUAGCGUUUGGUACGCUCCUAAUAAGCCUUAAAAAUCCGCUUAAAGAAAUAGUUUUUACGCUAGGUUGUACUCAUAACUGUAGCAGGUCUCUAAGGUAAAAAGCCUCUAGUUAAUAGAAUAAUGUAGAUAAGGGAAGUUAGUAAAAUAGAUCUAUAACUUUAGGAAAAGGAUUAGCUCUAAGGGUUAGGUACGUUAGGCCUUAGGGAGAAGCUUCUGGCGCAGAAGGGCACUAACCGUAAGGUAGGCGCCUUUCAGCGCUAGGGUGCAGACACCCUUAGCAGGCUUUAGCUGUCUAGCGUACGUUUAACAACUAACUUAGAACUAGUAUAGACAAGGGGAAUCUAACUGUCUAAUUAAAAUAUAGCAUUGCGAUAGCUAGAAAGUAGUGUUAAUGUAAUGUAAUUUCUGCCUAGUGCUCUAAAUGUUAAAGCGAAGAGAUUUAACUAAGCGCGGGUAAACGGCGGGAGUAACUAUAACUCUCUUAAGGUAGCUAAAUGCCUUAUUAUCUAAUUAGUAACGCGCAUGAAUAGAUUAACGAGAUUCCUACUGUCCCUAUCUACUAUCUAGUAAAACCAC